This 446-nucleotide ribosomal RNA is filed under the name uncultured bacterium. Its description in RNAcentral is "partial 16S ribosomal RNA". It matches the Rfam family "Bacterial small subunit ribosomal RNA", at positions 354 to 796 of the family's 1533-position model. The record is from RNAcentral.
GUAGGGAAUAUUGGGCAAUGGAGGCAACUCUGACCCAGCCAUGCCGCGUGCAGGAAGACGGUCCUCUGGAUUGUAAACUGCUUUUGAAUGGGAAGAACAUACGGUUUGCGAACCGUACUGACGGUACUAUUAGAAUAAGCACCGGCUAACUCCGUGCCAGCAGCCGCGGUAAUACGGAGGGUGCAAGCGUUAUCCGGAUUUAUUGGGCUUAAAGGGUGCGUAGGCGGCCUUAUAAGUCGGUGGUUAAAGGUAGCAGCUUAACUGUUUUACAUGCCAUCGAUACUGUAGGGCUUGGGUGAUUUGGAGGUAGCUAGAAUUCCCUGUGUAGCGGUGAAAUGCAUAGAUACGGGGAGGAAUACCGAUUGCGAAGGCAUGUUACUACGAAUUAACUGACGCUGAGGCACGAAAGCGUGGGGAUCAAACAGGAUUAGAUACCCGUGUAGUCC